CGGCCCGGCCCUGGGGAUGCAGCGAAUUUGGACAGGAAACGUCUCGAAUUGGAGCGCUUCCCUCUGCUCGUUACGAAUGCCCCGUGAGUGAUGCUCAACAUAUUCAAGUGUUGACAAGACGGCGCUGAACCCGACGCCUACACCAUGGGCAAGCCAGGCAGCGAGCGCAGACACACCUUCAUUGUCUGAAACUUGUAGUAAAACUCGGAGCGCGUUGUGAAACGCGGCUGCACAGAUGGGUGCCCGUAACCCUUCCACUGCCGGAACCUUCCCUUUGGGGAAGAUUUGGGUUGAUAACAGCAGGAAAAUCCCGGCGUCUCAAAGGGCUUCUGCAGCUCUGGGAACUUCUUUUGUAUAAAACGUGUGUUUUCGGUUGAGCUUUGCGUGGUGUAAGGAAAAAGAAAGGUGGAGAUGUGGCACUUGGGGUCAUGGUUUGGUGGGCACAGUGGGGAUGGGUCAGCGGUUGGUUUGGUGGUCUUUGCUGUCACUUCCAGCCUUAAUGGAUGUGUGAUCCUAAGGGCACAGUGGUGAUGGGUUGGGGUUGGAGUCAGUAAUCUUGGAGGUCGUUUCCAACUUCAAUGAUCCUAUGGGCACGGUGGUGACGGG
RNAcentral lists this long non-coding RNA (606 nucleotides) under Gallus gallus (chicken). The record is from RNAcentral. Lineage: Eukaryota; Metazoa; Chordata; Aves; Galliformes; Phasianidae.